RNAcentral lists this ribosomal RNA (450 nucleotides) under uncultured bacterium. RNAcentral describes it as "bacterial SSU rRNA". It matches the Rfam family "Bacterial small subunit ribosomal RNA", at positions 354 to 796 of the family's 1533-position model. The record is from RNAcentral.
GUGGGGAAUAUUGGACAAUGGGCGAAAGCCUGAUCCAGCAAUGCCGCGUGUGUGAAGAAGGCCUGCGGGUUGUAAAGCACUUUCAGUAGGGAAGAAAAGCCUGAGGUUAAUAGCCUCGGAUCUUGACGUUACCUACAGAAGAAGCACCGGCUAACUCCGUGCCAGCAGCCGCGGUAAUACGGAGGGUGCGAGCGUUAAUCGGAAUUACUGGGCGUAAAGCGCGCGUAGGCGGCUUGGUAAGUCGGAUGUGAAAGCCCUGGGCUUAACCUGGGAAUUGCAUUCGAUACUGUCAGACUAGAGUCUGGGAGAGGGAUGCGGAAUUCCGGGUGUAGCGGUGAAAUGCGUAGAUAUCCGGAGGAACACCAGUGGCGAAGGCGGCAUCCUGGCCUAAGACUGACGCUGAGGCGCGAAAGCGUGGGGAGCAAACAGGAUUAGAAACCCGAGUAGUCC